UCACCCGAACCAAACUCUUCGGUCUCCACUCCAGCUCCGCUCUAACUAGCUUUGGUUAAGGGCAUACCAAACAAGCCACUAGGCAUGUAUUAUGCAAAUGUGUUACUUGGUGACAUCACCACAUUACGUAAAAGACUUUGCAGACCUUUUAGUUG
Molecule: long non-coding RNA, 155 nt
Organism: Sebastes umbrosus (honeycomb rockfish)
Lineage: Eukaryota; Metazoa; Chordata; Actinopteri; Perciformes; Sebastidae
Exons: 2
Source: RefSeq, a predicted model, not a curated record